RNAcentral lists this transfer RNA (72 nucleotides) under Camelus dromedarius (Arabian camel). It matches the Rfam family "tRNA". From Rfam's summary of the family: Transfer RNA (tRNA) molecules are approximately 80 nucleotides in length. Their secondary structure includes four short double-helical elements and three loops (D, anti-codon, and T loops). The record is from Rfam by way of RNAcentral. Lineage: Eukaryota; Metazoa; Chordata; Mammalia; Artiodactyla; Camelidae. RNAcentral also lists the same sequence under 1 other name.
GAGGGUGUGGCUCAGUGGUAAAGCCCAUGCUUAGCCUGCAUGAGGUCCUGGGUUCAAUCUCCAGUACUUCCA